This 433-nucleotide ribosomal RNA is filed under the name uncultured bacterium. RNAcentral's name for it is "partial 16S ribosomal RNA". It matches the Rfam family "Bacterial small subunit ribosomal RNA", at positions 29 to 507 of the family's 1533-position model. The record is from RNAcentral.
AACGAACGCUGGCGGCAUGCCUAACACAUGCAAGUCGAACGAGACCUUCGGGUCUAGUGGCGCACGGGUGCGUAACGCGUGGGAACCUUCCCUUAGGUUCGGAAUAACUCCCCGACAGGGGUGCUAAUACCGGAUAAUGUCUUCGGACCAAAGAUUUAUCGCCUUUGGAUGGGCACGCGUUGGAUUAGCUAGUUGGUAGGGUAAAAGCCUACCAAGGCGACGAUCCAUAGCUGGUCUGAGAGGAUGAUCAGCCACACUGGGACUGAGACACGGCCCAGACUCCUACGGGAGGCAGCAGUGGGGAAUAUUGGACAAUGGGCGAAAGCCUGAUCCAGCAAUGCCGCGUGAGUGAUGAAGGCCUUAGGGUUGUAAAGCUCUUUUACCCGGGAUGAUAAUGACAGUACCGGGAGAAUAAGCUCCGGCUAACUCCGUG